Molecule: long non-coding RNA, 621 nt
Filed under: Mus musculus (house mouse)
Lineage: Eukaryota; Metazoa; Chordata; Mammalia; Rodentia; Muridae
Description: long non-coding RNA chr6:115804257-115804878
Source: RNAcentral
GUGGCUCAUUGGCCAGGUGUAGGUCCACUGUCUCAAACAUCCCUAAUCCCAUCACCCAGGAGUGUAACAGUCGGCUUGUGCUCUUCCCGACUUUGUAGUUAGUACUGAAAAUUUAAGUAUAAAUGACAGGUUUUGAUUUUUAAGACAUUGUUUCUCUUUGUAGCCACAUAUGGCCCAGACUCAAAUCCACCUGCCUGGAAUUAAAGCCAGCUGAGGCCAGUUAUCUGAGUUAAUAACAUAUACAAAGCUCUCCUCACAGGAUUCUUAUCCAUAUUGAUUCAGUCCUGGAAAUAACAAGGCCGAUGGCAUAGACCUGUUAUCCUAAUUCCUUAGGAGGCUGAGGCUGGACCACACACUCAGGUCGUAGUGAACAAAUUUAAGAUCUACCUAAAAGCAACAGGGCAGGAUAGCUCAGUACCACGCCCUCCUGGUAGCAACAACUUUCUAACCUGUCCUAAAGGACCCUAUGCCUUCGGGCAGACAUAUAUACAGGCAAAACACCAAAGUUUAAAAUAGCUCAGUUGUAGAGCACUCUCCAACACUACAGCAAGAUGAUAAAACCUCAUUUCUACAAUGAGAACAAAAGCUUAGUAAUAAAAAGGCUGGGAUGUCUUUCUCUCC